CGGGUGAGUAACACGUGGAUAACCUACCUAUAAGACUGGGAUAACUUCGGGAAACCGGAGCUAAUACCGGAUAAUAUAUUGAACCGCAUGGUUCAAUAGUGAAAGACGGUUUUGCUGUCACUUAUAGAUGGAUCCGCGCCGCAUUAGCUAGUUGGUAAGGUAACGGCUUACCAAGGCAACGAUGCGUAGCCGACCUGAGAGGGUGAUCGGCCACACUGGAACUGAGACACGGUCCAGACUCCUACGGGAGGCAGCAGCU
Molecule: ribosomal RNA, 259 nt
Filed under: uncultured Staphylococcus sp.
Lineage: Bacteria; Bacillati; Bacillota; Bacilli; Caryophanales; Staphylococcaceae
Description: partial 16S ribosomal RNA
Rfam family: Bacterial small subunit ribosomal RNA
Source: RNAcentral